Long non-coding RNA from Magnolia sinica, 2251 nucleotides. RefSeq lists it as uncharacterized. The record is from RefSeq and is a predicted model, not a curated record. Lineage: Eukaryota; Viridiplantae; Streptophyta; Magnoliopsida; Magnoliales; Magnoliaceae. The transcript is spliced from 6 exons.
UAGCAAUUCACCCAUAGUGGACUUGUUACUCAUGUUAUAUUGUUUGCAUGCCUAUUUUUGAUUUUAGAGCUAAGUCGGUUUUAUGUUUGUUGGACAAGAUAGUAGGCAACAUUUGAUUGGUGGGCUUCCAAUCUAACAAGGUGCGAUUUACAUUUGGGGCAGAGCAGAAAUGGAACCCGCAAUAAGUGGGCAUCUACUUUCCUGCUUUUCCCACCCCAAAUCACGAGUGGGUAUGUACAGGAAGGUCCCGAACAUACCUCACCGGUGUUUUGGCACAAGUAAUUCUAGUAUUAAAAUAAAUUAAUCUCAUCCUAAAGUGCCCUUAGUUGUUUUGUAUUCUAUUCAGUUAUUUUCUCAUGCCAAUGGAAAGGCUGAAGAGUGAUGGAAUUGCUGGAGUAUUAUCGUACGGGCUGUUGAAUACUGUCUCCUAUAUCACGACAUUUCUCUUGGUUUGAAUUUUAUCUGGAUGGUCUUUUAGAUAUUUGCACUACACGUCUCAGGUGCUCUCUGUGGCUGUGUAUAACCACUAUAAAAGGAUCUACCAUGCAUCCUUGAACGGGUCUGGGGCAGAAUCGGGGAAUCCUGAGGCAGAAAUUGAUGACAAUGAUUCUGUGGAGCUAGAGAAAAGCAAUGUACUCUUGAUGGGUCCAACCACCUCUGAUAUAACUUGUAUGUAUAGGAAGCUGGCGUCAAAGUUGAUCCGUUGGGGGAUCUAGAUAUAGAGUCGGAAAGAAAAUUGGGGCAGCUGGUUCUAGAGAAGGCCCAUACCUGCAAAAUACAAGAACUCACCUGCAAAGGGUGCUGGGAGAUGACAGUGUUCUAGAUGUCAGGUUUGAGGACUUUGGAUGAAAGCAGAUGCGCUUCUCAUAAUGGUUGGUAUCAUCGUAUUGCAAAAGAAGGUAUUCCUGUGGGUUUGCGCUGUUAUCAUUUUUUCUUUUUUGGUAAGUCACAUUGUUCUGUUCUGUUGUAUCAGCUAGGCGGAAUAACAAUAUGAUACAAGGCAUAUCAGACCAUAUCACCUUGAUAUCUUGCAUAAAAAAAAUGCAGGAAAAUAUCAGAAAGAAAAAGAAAAAAUCCAAAAGAAAAGGGAAAACGGGAAAAACAUGAAUCUUUCAGUUUAUUAUUAUUAUUAUUAUUAUUAUUUUAUGCAUUUGUGUAUCAGACCAUUCCUUGGUAAUAAUGAUGUUUGUUGGCCUGACCUUUUGGAAUUUUACACACCCAACACUGGAUGGAUGAAGAUGCUUCAGCAUGCAAGAGCUUGAAGGCAUUUCAAUAUAGGAUAGCUUCCUUAAGGGUGUUUUUUGGUACAUAGAAAUCUUAGCCAUUACUAUGGAAAUGUGAGCUUAUGUUGUUUGGAAAUUCAAUUUUCCAUGGAAAUUUAGUUCCAAUUACAAGUAUCUUCAAUGGAAGAUGCCACUUUUUUCCACAUUGUAGGAGUUGGAAUCUGUGUUUCCUUGGUAACAAACGAAAGCUUCUUUCCAUACUUUACCAUCUCCAUUCCUCCAUUCUAAGAGCUACUUCCCUCAACGAAAAUCCUGAUGGAGAUCCAAAUGAACAUGGGUUCUCCAUCAAUUACAAUGACUGAAUACAAAUGCAUAACCAUUACAACACCCUUUCUUUAGGGACCAGCUUUUGCAUGCUUUCACAGUCCUCUACCUUGACAGAAAUGCCCCACCCACACUUUGUGGCGCUAUUGAAUCGUGUUAGGAACCGGGAGCUUCCCAACAAAUCCUUUUUUUUUUUUUUACAUUGUUAGACCAUCUAAUCAUUUUUUAGUAAGGGAAAUGUUGGUAAUGUUUUCUUAGGAGAAAAGGAAAUUAACGUUGUAUUCUCUUUGUUGUUUACUGUUAACUUGUUUUGGCUUUUCUUGAAGGUGAGGAGAUCAUUUCAGGAGCACAGUGUGUACACGAUCCUGAGUUUUUGGCAACUUGUGAAGUGACAUGUGGUAUUGAUUUAAAGACAAUAUCAACAUACAUUGAUUCUUUCCGAUAUGAUUUUUUCACUCUUGGUGAAAAAAAAAACCAUAAGAACAUAAGACCAAUUCCAGCAAUCAAUGCAUUUAUGAAGGUAAUUCAUUGAAAACUCGGAGGGAUUUUGAAGCUUAGCAUUCAACUAAAUUAAUCAUUUCAGGUGGUUUAAUCCAAACUGCCCAAAGUUUAUUUCUUGAUCAAACUUUGGUUUAUACAUUAGUUUGAAUGUAAUCAUUAUCUUCACUAACAAAGUGAGAAUUAAUUUGCUUACGGUUUUAAAG